GGACCGUCGGUCUACCGAGCAAUAUCACCGGCUCGGUGGAAGAUCUUCC
RNAcentral lists this microRNA precursor (49 nucleotides) under Bombyx mori (domestic silkworm). RNAcentral's name for it is "mir-2774 microRNA precursor family". It matches the Rfam family "mir-2774 microRNA precursor family", at positions 10 to 58 of the family's 67-position model. Lineage: Eukaryota; Metazoa; Arthropoda; Insecta; Lepidoptera; Bombycidae. The record is from Rfam by way of RNAcentral.